This 301-nucleotide ribosomal RNA is filed under the name uncultured bacterium. RNAcentral describes it as "partial 16S ribosomal RNA". It matches the Rfam family "Bacterial small subunit ribosomal RNA", at positions 509 to 807 of the family's 1533-position model. The record is from RNAcentral.
CAGUAGCCACGGUAAUACGUAGGGUGCGAGCGUUAAUCGGAAUUACUGGGCGUAAAGCGUGCGCAGGCGGUUUUGUAAGACAGGCGUGAAAUCCCCGGGCUCAACCUGGGAAUGGCGCUUGUGACUGCAAAGCUAGAGUGCGGCAGAGGGGGAUGGAAUUCCGCGUGUAGCAGUGAAAUGCGUAGAUAUGCGGAGGAACACCGAUGGCGAAGGCAAUCCCCUGGGCCUGCACUGACGCUCACGCACGAAAGCGUGGGGAGCAAACAGGAUUAGAUACCCCCGUAGUCCCUGUCUCUUAUAC